Molecule: long non-coding RNA, 403 nt
Organism: Cajanus cajan (pigeon pea)
Lineage: Eukaryota; Viridiplantae; Streptophyta; Magnoliopsida; Fabales; Fabaceae
Source: RefSeq, a predicted model, not a curated record
CCUUCUUUUCCCCCUUCUCUUCCUUUUCCUUGCCUAACCCUCGUUCCCUACUCACUCUCUCUUUUUCCUUCCUUGCUGACUCUAGGUAGUGGUGAAAGCAAUCUGGAUUGCUAGUUAUUGUUCAGAGCCUCCUUUUCUUCCCUUCGGUUAUUCAAGUUCAUUCCUUCUUCACUUUCGUUCUCCUCUUCUCGGAAACUCGGAAAACUUUGCUCAAGAACAAGGAUAGGUUGUGACUGGUAGUGAAGCUGUAGCUGACUGAUGGAGCUGAUCUUCUUGGGAUAUUUGUCUUUUGUUGUUUAGCUACUUAAUGUAAUAACUGAAUUGAUGUAUCUUUUUGUACACUUUAACUCUAGUCAGACUAGAACUUUGUAUAUUUAUAUAUUCUAGAUCCUAUAUUUAUAUA